Molecule: ribosomal RNA, 489 nt
Filed under: uncultured bacterium
Lineage: Bacteria
Description: bacterial SSU rRNA
Rfam family: Bacterial small subunit ribosomal RNA
Source: RNAcentral
CGGAUGAACGCUAGCGGCAGGCCUAACACAUGCAAGUCGAGGGGCAUCGCGGUGCAGCAAUGCACUGGCGGCGACCGGCGUACGGGUGCGUAACGCGUAUGCAACCUGCCCCGCACCGGGGGAUAGCCCGCCGAAAGGCGGAUUAAUACCCCAUGGUCCCGGGGGCCCGCAUGGGCAUCCGGGUAAAGCCUUGGCGGUGCGGGAUGGGCAUGCGUGCCAUUAGCUGGCUGGUGGGGUAACGGCCCACCAGGGCAACGAUGGCUAGGGGGUCUGAGAGGAUGGUCCCCCACACUGGUACUGAGACACGGACCAGACUCCUACGGGAGGCAGCAGUGAGGAAUAUUGGUCAAUGGGCGGAAGCCUGAACCAGCCAUGCCGCGUGGCGGGAUGAAGGCCCUACGGGUUGUAAACCGUCUUUCCCCGGGAAGAAUAACGCCCCCGCGGGGGGUGAUGCCGGUACCGGGGGAAUAAGGAUCGGCUAACUCCGUG